CGUGAAGCUGGAUUCGCUAGUAAUCGCGCAUCAGCCAUGGCGCGGUGAAUACGUUCCCGGGCCUUGUACACACCGCCCGUCAAGCCAUGGGAGCCGGGGGCGCCUGAAGUGCGGUACCGCGAGGGCCGCCCAAGGGCGAGACCGGUGACUGGGGCUAAGUCGUAACAAGGUACC
This 174-nucleotide ribosomal RNA is filed under the name uncultured bacterium. Its description in RNAcentral is "partial 16S ribosomal RNA". It matches the Rfam family "Bacterial small subunit ribosomal RNA", at positions 1319 to 1500 of the family's 1533-position model. The record is from RNAcentral.